RNAcentral lists this ribosomal RNA (301 nucleotides) under uncultured bacterium. Its description in RNAcentral is "partial 16S ribosomal RNA". It matches the Rfam family "Bacterial small subunit ribosomal RNA", at positions 509 to 807 of the family's 1533-position model. The record is from RNAcentral.
CAGUAGCCGCGGGAAUACGAAGGUCCCAAGCGUUGUUCGGAAUCACUGGGCGUAAAGGGAGCGUAGGCGGCGUGGUAAGUCAGAUGUGAAAUCCCGGGGCUCAACCCCGGAACUGCAUCCGAUACUGCCAUGCUUGAGGGUUGGAGAGGUAGCUGGAAUUCUUGGUGUAGCAGUGAAAUGCGUGGAUAUCAAGAGGAACACUCGUGGCGAAGGCGAGCUACUGGACAACAUCUGACGCUGAGGCUCGAAGGCCAGGGUAGCGAAAGGGAUUAGAUACCCCUGUAGUCCCUGUCUCUUAUAC